AGUAAUGUAUGGGGAUCUGCCCGAUAGAGGGGGAUAACUACUGGAAACGGUGGCUAAUACCGCAUAAUGUCUACGGACCAAAGCAGGGGCUCUUCGGACCUUGCACUAUCGGAUGAACCCAUAUGGGAUUAGCUAGUAGGUGGGGUAAAGGCUCACCUAGGCGACGAUCUCUAGCUGGUCUGAGAGGAUGAUUAGCCACACUGGGACUGAGACACGGCCCAG
RNAcentral lists this ribosomal RNA (222 nucleotides) under uncultured bacterium. RNAcentral's name for it is "partial 16S ribosomal RNA". It matches the Rfam family "Bacterial small subunit ribosomal RNA", at positions 109 to 334 of the family's 1533-position model. The record is from RNAcentral.